UGUGUACUCCCUCCAUUCCAAAAUACUUGACUUCCAUUUGUCCAAAAAUGGAUGUACCUAUAUACUAAAACAUGUCUAGAUACAUAUAUAUAUUAACAAAUAGAAGGCAUGUAUUGUGCAACGGAGGGAGUAGAAU
Non-coding RNA from Triticum aestivum (bread wheat), 136 nucleotides. Lineage: Eukaryota; Viridiplantae; Streptophyta; Magnoliopsida; Poales; Poaceae. The record is from Rfam.